GUUGAGGGUCUUGACUAUUACAUUGCAGAGGGUGGAAAGGCAUUUCAAGAUCUUGAAACCAUUAUAGAAAAACUCUGCAUAUCCAGUGAAAAGAAGAAAGAACUGAAAUCCAAAUUGCUAAAUGGGAAGCGAUAUAUCAAAUCAGAUUUCAAGGUAUUUGAAAACAUAUUGAUAGUCUAAAUCAUGUUAUAGGAAACAUUAUAAUUAAACAAAUUGAAUGUGACAUUGUUAGCUUGUCAAUGAGUGAACUACAGCUUGAGCUAGCUGUAAUUGUCACCACACACGCUAUAUAUAUAUUGAUACCAUAAGGC
Molecule: long non-coding RNA, 311 nt
Filed under: Mytilus galloprovincialis (Mediterranean mussel)
Lineage: Eukaryota; Metazoa; Mollusca; Bivalvia; Mytilida; Mytilidae
Source: RNAcentral